GAUGAACGCUGGCGGCGUGCCUAAUACAUGCAAGUCGAGCGAACGGACGAGAAGCUUGCUUCUCUGAUGUUAGCGGCGGACGGGUGAGUAACACGUGGAUAACCUACCUAUAAGACUGGGAUAACUUCGGGAAACCGUAGCUAAUACCGGAUAAUAUUUUGAACCGCAUGGUUCAAACGUGAAAGACGGUCUUGCUGUCACUUAUAGAUGGAUCCGCGCUGCAUUAGCUAGUUGGUAAGGUAACGGCUUACCAAGGCAACGAUGCAUAGCCGACCUGAGAGGGUGAUCCGCCACACUGGAACUGAGACACGGUCCAGACUCCUACGGGAGGCAGCAGUAGGGAAUCUUCCGCAAUGGGCGAAAGCCUGACGGAGCAACGCCGCGUGAGUGAUGAAGGUCUUCGGAUCGUAAAACUCUGUUAUUAGGGAAGAACAUAUGUGUAAGUAACUGUGCACAUCUUGACGGUACCUAAUCAGAAAGCCACGGCUAACUACGUG
Molecule: ribosomal RNA, 497 nt
Filed under: uncultured bacterium
Lineage: Bacteria
Description: partial 16S ribosomal RNA
Rfam family: Bacterial small subunit ribosomal RNA
Source: RNAcentral